RNAcentral lists this unclassified non-coding RNA (253 nucleotides) under uncultured Pirellulaceae bacterium. Its description in RNAcentral is "contains 16S-23S intergenic spacer region". It matches the Rfam family "Bacterial small subunit ribosomal RNA", at positions 524 to 776 of the family's 1533-position model. Lineage: Bacteria; Pseudomonadati; Planctomycetota; Planctomycetia; Pirellulales; Pirellulaceae. The record is from RNAcentral.
GACGAACCGUGCAAACGUUAUUCGGAAUCACUGGGCUUAAAGCGUGCGUAGGCGGUCCAGCAAGUUGGGUGUGAAAUGCCUCGGCUCAACCGAGGAAUUGCGCUCAAAACUGCUGGGCUUGAGGGAGUUAGAGGAGAGCGGAACUCACGGUGGAGCGGUGAAAUGCGUUGAUAUCGUGAGGAACACCGGUGGCGAAAGCGGCUCUCUGGGGCUCAUCUGACGCUCAGGCACGAAAGCUAGGGGAGCAAACGGG